This 253-nucleotide ribosomal RNA is filed under the name uncultured bacterium. RNAcentral's name for it is "partial 16S ribosomal RNA". It matches the Rfam family "Bacterial small subunit ribosomal RNA", at positions 524 to 776 of the family's 1533-position model. The record is from RNAcentral.
UACAGAGGGUGCGAGCGUUGUCCGGAAUCACUGGGCGUAAAGGGCGCGUAGGCGGCGCGACAAGUCAGUGGUGAAAGUUCGACGCUUAACGUCGAAUCGGCCACUGAUACUGUUGGGCUUGGGCACUGUAGAGGCUAAUGGAAUUCCGGGUGUAGCGGUGGAAUGCGUAGAGAUCCGGAAGAACACCGGUGGCGAAGGCGGUUAGCUGGGCAGUUGCUGACACUGAGGCGCGACAGCGUGGGGAGCAAACAGG